CAUGUGUUCGAUAUUUUGAUCAUGUCCCUGAAUGAUUGAUUGAUCGAAGUCAAUUUUGAUGAAUUAAUCACUUCACAUUUUAUCUGAUUCCUCUAUUCAGUCAAGUGAUCAUAAGUACAUUGAUCACUUGAUAGGAUUAUAUCUCUGAACUUGCAUCAUAAUGGAUUCCAAGUCAAACACAAGCUCAAGACAUCAUCAUGCAAGACUCUAAAGACUUUAGGCAUCAAGCACAUUAAAAAGAUUCACCGUCAACACUUAUCAGUCAUGAUGAGAAUUGUGCGCCACAAACCUUAAGCAAUAGAGAAAAAUGAUAGGGAUUAUUCCUACCCUUGUUCUGAGUAUCUUUGGGUACGGGGUGUAGGCCCCAGUUAUUCAAAGUAUACGCCUUUGUUCAUAAACUUUAGUGUUAUUCAAAUUGAAUAGUUGUCGAGUCUUCUUCUCCACAGGCAACAUCUCAAUAUUGCAACAAUCUUCAUCAACAAUGCAUUUCCCUUUGGACCAAACAUAAAUUCUCUUUGACAUCCAUACAUUCUCUGGGUUAAGCACCUUAGGUUCAAACACCCAUAUAUGCAAACCCUUUUCUUUUAUUUUUCCCAAUAGAGCAUCAUGCUCUUGCAACUCUUAUGCAUUGUCCUAUAGAACCUCAUGCUCUGGCAACUCUCAUGCAUUUCUUUGUGUAGCUUCAUGCUCUAUAAACUUUCAUGCAUUUCCUUAUGGAGCCUCAUGCUCUGGAAAACCUCACGCAUUUCCCUAUUGAGCUUCAUACUCUGGAAACCCCCUUCUUGUAGGUCUUGAUCCUUGGAUUUAGGCUAAAUUCUACAACCUUGCAUUGGCCACACUAUCUAUUGGUUAAUGCCAUACACUCUUUGGUUUAUAUACAUUUACCCUAUGGUUUCAAAUAGCACAACCUUUUGUCCAAGCAAUACUUUCACAACAUACACAUAACACUUUCCUCAUUUCACCAUUUCUUUUACACUUCAAGAAAUUAUGUUUCAAUUCAAGCAACUUUCCCUAUUUCUCUUUCUUUUCAUAUUCAAUCAACUCUUUCUUUUUUAUUGCACAAACCUUUUUUAAAAUAAUUUUCUUUUUUUUUCUCCAUAAAAUAACUAUUAUAAUCAGUUCCUUAGCAGUCAAAGUAUAAACUUAGAGCAUCCGAGCAAGGAUCAAAAUUAACUAACGUCUAUACACUUUUAGGAUACGAUUAUAAUUGUUCCCUAAAAUCAACAAAAAAAUCUGUGUUUUCUACCACAAACGACGGAGCUGUGAUUUUCUCACUGCACUAUGAGAAUACGUAGGCACGAGAGUCCGAAUCCUUGGCAAGCACACUUAUUAUUAAACUUAUUUUUCCUUUUCGCAAGUAACCUUUAGAUAAUAACACAUAUUCGUGCAGAGAACAAUCAAAAUGGUUCCCGUUGAGUAUAACGGACGUGAUGAGUGCUAAUACCUUCCCUUGUAUAACUGACUUCCUUACCCUUUUUCUUUUUCCUUUGGGUUUUAUCGAUAUUUUCCCUUUCCUUAGGAAUAAAUAAAGUUCGGUGGGGACUUUGUUGUAUCUUCGAGCGUGCGAUGCACUCAAGUAUUUUUCGCGGGCCUAAUGAGCAUACAAGACAAGGAGGGAUCAAAGACAAGUAAAAGAAGGCAAAACGAAAAAAAAAAGAUUUUUUUCCAUAGUAAAAUCGGGGGGUUACUACGGACACCCGUAGGAGCAAAGCAUGUCAGGGUUCCCUUUGAAAGCCUUCCUAGUACAAAAGACAGAGGCCUGCUACGAGAAACUGUAGUAGCUGCUACGGUCGUAGCAGGAGGGAGAGGAAGAUUUUUUUUUCCUUAUUUGGAUUAUUUCUCUUUUAUUGUGGCUCUUAGGCAAUAUUUGACAGAAUGCAAAUUUGAUUGAAUAAUUUUAAACCAAGGAUUUUGUGCAAUUUUACUUUUUUCUAUAAAAAUCAUAGUUUGUCAUGA
Long non-coding RNA from Lathyrus oleraceus (garden pea), 1956 nucleotides. RefSeq lists it as uncharacterized. The record is from RefSeq and is a predicted model, not a curated record. The transcript has 2 exons. NCBI's taxonomy places the organism in Eukaryota, Viridiplantae, Streptophyta, Magnoliopsida, Fabales, Fabaceae.